Pan troglodytes (chimpanzee) is the source of this 426-nucleotide long non-coding RNA. RefSeq lists it as uncharacterized. NCBI's taxonomy places the organism in Eukaryota, Metazoa, Chordata, Mammalia, Primates, Hominidae. The transcript has 3 exons. The record is from RefSeq and is a predicted model, not a curated record.
CCUUUGGGGAGAGGCCGUGGGCAUGGCUUCACUUUUCAGCUGGAUUAUAAAGGAUGUGAAGUUAGCCUGACUGAGCAGAAGGGGAGGGAAGACAGCACUCCAGGAAAGUGGAACGAACAACAGAGUCCAAAGGGCCCUCCAGCCUACCCACUCCCAAGUACCUGGAAGAAGCUCUCCACGUGUUCCCUUGGGGCCUCCUCCCGGAGUGCAGGGUCAUACAGGUUGAAGGCCCAAUUAAGCCUGUCAUCUACAGUUCCCCGAAGAAUCACGGACAAACCAGCCACAAAGUCCUGGGAAGGAGGCAGGAGGGAGCUGUGUCCUCGGGUACUCUUCACCCAACUCCUUCUCUGGGUUUGGCCUGGAGAUCCUGGCCCUGAACUCCAGGAAACAGGCUUCCCUGGCCCACCUCGCCCAGCUCACCUCAAA